CAAAAUAUUAAAAAUCAAUCUAAAAUGUCAGUUCCUAUGACUUUAUAAUGUAUAAAUAUGAAUUUAAAGCAAAGGUCAAAAUCUAGAACGUCCUAUUAACCUUUGACCUUGACCUCAAUUUCAAGGUCACAACCAAGGACCUCAAAUAAAAAGACCCUAGGUCUGUAAUAUGUAUGGUUAAUGAGUUAUAUCACUUUAGGCAUGAUUUUAAAUAUAAGAUGGGCGAAA
This 228-nucleotide long non-coding RNA is filed under the name Mytilus galloprovincialis (Mediterranean mussel). The record is from RNAcentral. Lineage: Eukaryota; Metazoa; Mollusca; Bivalvia; Mytilida; Mytilidae.